GACGAACGCUGGCGGCGUGCCUAAUACAUGCAAGUAGAACGCUGAAGAGAGGAGCUUGCUCUUCUUGGAUUAGUUGCGAACGGGUGAGUAACGCGUAGGUAACCUGCCUGGUAGCGGGGGAUAACUAUUGGAAACGAUAGCUAAUACCGCAUAAAAUGUAUUAUCGCAUGAUAAUCCAUUGAAAGGUGCAAAUGCAUCACUACCAGAUUGACCUGCGUUGUAUUAGCUAGUUGGUUGGGUAACGGCUCACCAAGGGGACGGUACAUAGCCGACCUGGGAGGGUGAUCGGCCACACUGGGACUUGGAAAAGGCCCAGAAUCCUAAGGGAGGCAGCCGUAGGGAAUCUUUGGGAAUGGACGGAAGUCUGAACGAGCAACGCCGCGGGAGUGAAGAAGGUUUUCGGAUCGUAAAGCUCUGUUGUAAGAGAAGAAAGAGUGUGAGAGUGGAAAGUUCACAUUGUGACGGUAUCUUACCAGAAAGGGACGGCUAACUACGUG
RNAcentral lists this ribosomal RNA (497 nucleotides) under uncultured bacterium. RNAcentral describes it as "partial 16S ribosomal RNA". It matches the Rfam family "Bacterial small subunit ribosomal RNA", at positions 28 to 507 of the family's 1533-position model. The record is from RNAcentral.